AGUCCAUUAGCUCAGAAAGGUAGGGAGAAAACCUAUCCGGGUGGAGGCUCCCUUUGAUCUGCUUUCCUGUGACACUCCAGUGAGGACAGAAAAGCACAAACAGCACUCCAAAGACAGCCCGCUUAUCAAACGGAAAGACAUUUCUUUCUGGAAGUAGGAGCACAAAUUUUAAUUAACUCUCCACUCUCCUGUGUGGAUCCGUAAUCUCCGAUCACACCUGGAGUGCUAAAAAAAUGGAGCAUGUCCUGUGGUUUUGCAACUUGUGUAAAAGGAAUUCAUUUGUAUUUAUGGCUUUUUUCCCCCCUUUGUUCUCUAUAAUUUCUCCAGUGGUUGCAAAUCAACUAAGGAAACAGACAUCCAAUGCAACCUUCCCUUACCCUCCAAAAAUCAUGACAACAGAAUGUAGAGUUUACUAAGAAAUGCUUUUGUCUUUUGAUCAUUUUUAAAGAUCCUCCAUGCAGGGAAGUAAUGAGGAGGUAGCAUACUGGUCCAGUGAGAAAGUUGGUAUCCUGAAUGUCAGUUUGCUCUUCUCUUUUCUCCUCUUUCAAUCUGUGGAAGCAAUCUGGGAGAAACGCAGUUUCAAAUAAAAGACUUGGAUCCUUCCACAUGACUGUGUAGAUGAAGAGAGGAAUUUUACUUCCCAUAUCUGAAAAGUGUGUGGGACCAGCACUGGGAUGGUCUCCAUACCUGGAAACAGUGACUGGGGAAUGUUUGCCUCUAUUCCUGACUGCCACCAGGCUGGGCCUUCGCCUUUCACGGAGAGGGUGUGUGAAGGUAGAGAGCCCUGCAAAGACACAUGUGUGUCUUUUGUAAAAUUGCUGCCAAAACACUAAUGCCCAACACUUAUUGGCAGGGAUCUACUGGAAGCCUUUUCUCAGAGUCUGGAAGCUAUGAAGUAAAAAUAAUAAAUUUGGUGACAUAAAAACCCUUCUGCAAGACAAGGGACAAGCUAUGUAAAGUGAAGAGACAAAAGAAAAGAUGGGAAAACAUUUGUAGCUCAUAUUACAGAAAAAAAAAGGAAGAGCUCCUAAAAUUUGAUUUAAAAAAAAUCCAGUAAUCCAAGUUUUAAAAUGGACACAAACAGGAAGAGAGUAGAAUCACAAAAAAAAAGGAAAUUCAAAUGGCCAUUAAGCACACUAAAAAACACCACAUCCCACAAUAAGAGAAAAGCGAACUAUAACUACUGAGAUACAUAUUUUCACCUAUCAUACUGGUAAAAACCCAGAAGUUUGACAACUACUUUGUUGACAAGACCACGGGGAAGUAAGCAUUCUCAUACACCGCUGGCAGGAAGGCAAAUUGAUUCAAUCUCAUACAGAACAACUUGACAGUAUCUUUCAAAAUUGCAAAUACAUUUACCCUUUGACACAACAAUCUCACUUCUGGGAACUGAUCCUAUAUAUAUAUAUAUGUCAAAUGUACAAAGUUAUUCACUGGAGAACUGUUUGCAAUAGCAAAACACUAAAGAUUACCCCGGUGUCUAUCACUAUCAGGCUUGCUAAAUUAAAUUACGUUUUAUGCACAUGACUUGGGGGCCUGAUUAUUGGCUGAUCAUAUGUUGAACCAAGGUGUCCAGGAUAAAAAAGACAAUGAGAAGGAGUGAAUUCCAUUUUAGACAUGCUGAGUUCAAGGAACAGUGGAAGGUCCAGGAGGCAGCUAGAUGAGAUGGGGCCUGUGGUAGAAAGAAUAUACCCACCCACUCCCCCAAAUACUUCUAUGUCCUAAUCCCUGGAGCCUGGGGCUACAUCACCUUCCACGGGUAAGAGAGAUUGGGCAGAUGUGAUAAAGUUAAGGAUCUCCAGAAGGGGAGAUUAUCCAGGUGGGUUCAAUGUAAUCAAAAGGGUCCUCUGAAGAGAGAAGCAGGUGUUGGGGAUGGAGGGAGGACGGGGGGUUGGCCAGUUAGGGAGAGAGGUGUGAGGAUGGAAGCAGAGGUCAGAGUGACUGGCCCUGAGCAAGACAGCCUCUAUAAAUUGAAGUCAAGGAACAGAUUCCCUCCUACAGUCUCCAGAAAGAAUGCAGCUCUGCCAACACCUUGAUUUCAAUCUCUUAAAACCCAUUUUGGACUUCUGACUUCCAGAAUGGUAAGAGAAUAAAUCUGUUGUUUUAAGCCACUACAGCAGCCAUAGGAAAUGAAUACACAGUUAAAUGCAGGGGAAGGCAGGAUGAAAAUAAAGAACUGGAGGGGACAGCCAAUACUCAAUACUUGGGUGCUGCAAACUCAGGAGGCUUGAGGUUGGUGAGGACAGGAUCUCCUGGUGAGGAGGUGAGUGGAAAAUAAAGAAAACAGAGGCUGGAUGGGGAUAAAUCAGCUCUUGAGCAGUCAGGGUGGGAAAUGGGUUUAAGAAGAAAGAUUCACACCAUCAAAUGUCACAAGAGGGCAAGCAACACAACAACCGAAAGACUUUCUGCAGUUGAUAGUGAGGUCUUGGGAGACCACGAGCAAGACAUUUUAGAAGGGAAGUGGCAGACGGCAAGAGGUCUAGCAUGUGGCUGGUACUGAAGACGAGACAGGGUGUUAGCAUGCUGUCAGGAAAUGAAGGUUUGCCUUGGCUGAGCCUGGGUGCAGCAGGGGCCGUGGCCACCAAGGGCAUGUGGGGAACAGUCAUACCCUCAUGUGAUGGAAAGUAGAGAUCCGAAGGCUGGGCAGGAGGGAAAUGCCAAGGAACAUUUCAUCUCUAUUUAUUCAAUGAUAAGUGGAUGCUUAACACUGGGCCAGUCUUUGCUGAAAACUCAGUGAGUCCUUCAGCAUCCCAGAGGGCAGAGCUACACUCCUACCACUCUCCAUUUAUGAAUCUCCACAGCUUAGUCAAACUGGUUCUUUGCUGGGCACCUGGGAAGCAAGAUAGUUGAGGCUCUUCUGCUGCGGCAGGAGAUCCCGGUCUGUUGCGGGGGUGUGGAGAGAUGAACACGGUUCCCCCACCAGAUGGAAGCCACCAUGAGCUGUGCAGGAGGGAAGGACAGAGAAAGGAAUGACUUGCCCCUCUGCUCUCUGGGGAAAGGGCAAAUCCCUCCAGCUGGGGCUGCAGCAGCCCUGCCUUCCCAGCCCUCAUCCUCCCCCUGGGCCUCCUGCAGGACCGCUGCCUCUGCCAGCAGGAGGGAGGGGCAAGGACGCUGGGGCCGGCUGGAGAUGUUGUUUUCCUCUUUGUUUUACACACAAUGCCCCAGAAAAACAUUUUCCUGAUAUGUAAUUAGGCCAACAUAAUAGAGUCUAAGAAAGCAGUCGGUCUCAUUUUAGACAACUUUGGCUUUCAUAACGUUCAAAGAGAAUAUGUUAAAAAAAAAAAAAAAGCUUAGUUCUCAGAUGUAGAAAAGGGGGCAGAUGAUAUGCAGGCAGUGCAGUCUUCCAUCCGAAGACUCUUUCCCCACCCCCCUUGCUUAAUUCACGUCUUUGCCUGAUUUUCUCCACCACUCAAGAAAGGUAACCAACCUUAGUGCCCUUUGAGAGCCCAACAAAAUAAUAAUAACAACUGUCAUUAUUAUUUGAGAUGCAUUGUUUGCAAAAAAUGGCCUUAAUUAUUGUCUCCCUGUAUCCAGGCCUCUUUACAACAUACCUCUGCAGAAAGAGGGAGAGUCUGUCUCUCCACCCCUUGAAACCAGGCUGGUCUUCUGAUUUUUUUCUGACCAAGACAAUAUGGUAGAUGUGAUCUUACAGGAGUUCUGAACCUGUGCCCUGAUGGGCCUUGUUGCUUCCCCUUGCUCUCACGCAGCCCUGCCUAUGUGCUGAGGACAUGCCCAGGCGAGCCUGGUGGAGGAUGGCAGACAUUUGAGAGACCAUCUUGGACCUAUUAGCUGCUGCCGAGGCAUCUGUGUGAGCCCAGGAAGAGCUGGAUGCCCGAGCAAAUGUCUAGAAGGAACACCAUUGUAAAAGUCACCUGGUCUAACUUGAGAGAAAUAAAACAAAAUAGCUGC
Canis lupus familiaris (dog) is the source of this 3909-nucleotide long non-coding RNA. RefSeq lists it as uncharacterized. NCBI's taxonomy places the organism in Eukaryota, Metazoa, Chordata, Mammalia, Carnivora, Canidae. The transcript is spliced from 3 exons. The record is from RefSeq and is a predicted model, not a curated record.